RNAcentral lists this ribosomal RNA (479 nucleotides) under uncultured bacterium. RNAcentral describes it as "bacterial SSU rRNA". It matches the Rfam family "Bacterial small subunit ribosomal RNA", at positions 41 to 507 of the family's 1533-position model. The record is from RNAcentral.
GGCAUGCUUUACACAUGCAAGUCGAACGGUAACAGGCCUUCGGGCGCUGACGAGUGGCGAACGGGUGAGUAAUGCAUCGGAACGUGCCCAGAGGUGGGGGAUAACGCAGCGAAAGCUGUGCUAAUACCGCAUAUUAUCUGAGGAUGAAAGCGGGGGACUAAGCAGCAAUGUUUGGCCUCGCGCCUUUGGAGCGGCCGAUGUCAGAUUAGGUAGUUGGUGGGGUAAAGGCCUACCAAGCCGACGAUCUGUAGCUGGUCUGAGAGGACGACCAGCCACACUGGGACUGAGACACGGCCCAGACUCCUACGGGAGGCAGCAGUGGGGAAUUUUGGACAAUGGGCGCAAGCCUGAUCCAGCAAUGCCGCGUGCAGGAAGAAGGCCUUCGGGUUGUAAACUGCUUUUGUACGGAACGAAAAGGCUCUGGUUAAUACCUGGGGCUCAUGACGGUACCGUAAGAAUAAGCACCGGCUAACUACGUG